This 231-nucleotide ribosomal RNA is filed under the name uncultured bacterium. RNAcentral's name for it is "partial 16S ribosomal RNA". It matches the Rfam family "Bacterial small subunit ribosomal RNA", at positions 15 to 237 of the family's 1533-position model. The record is from RNAcentral.
GAUCCAUGGCUCAGGAUGAACGCUAGCUACAGGCUUAACACAUGCAAGUCGAGGGGCAGCAUCAUCAAAGCUUGCUUUGAUGGAUGGCGACCGGCGCACGGGUGAGUAACACGUAUCCAACCUGCCGACAACUCUGGGAUAGCCUUUCGAAAGAAAGAUUAAUACCGGAUGGCAUAGUUUUCCCGCAUGGGAUGACUAUUAAAGAAUUUCGGUUGUCGAUGGGGAUGCGUU